GUCAGAGUGGUGUUUUGGUUGAGCAUUGGACUAAGACUCCAGAGGACCAGGGUUCAAAUCCCUGCUCAGCCA
Molecule: non-coding RNA, 72 nt
Organism: Phrynosoma platyrhinos (Desert horned lizard)
Lineage: Eukaryota; Metazoa; Chordata; Lepidosauria; Squamata; Phrynosomatidae
Source: the annotation of a GenBank genome assembly